Molecule: ribosomal RNA, 908 nt
Filed under: uncultured bacterium
Lineage: Bacteria
Description: bacterial SSU rRNA
Rfam family: Bacterial small subunit ribosomal RNA
Source: RNAcentral
ACGCUAGCUACAGGCUUAACACAUGCAAGUCGAGGGGAAACGGCAUUUAGUGCUUGCACUGAAUGGACGUCGACCGGCGCACGGGUGAGUAACGCGUAUCCAACCUUCCCAUUACUUUGGGAUAACCUGCCGAAAGGCAGACUAAUACCUCAUAGUCUUCGAUGACGGCAUCAGAUUUGAAGUAAAGAUUUAUCGGUAAUGGAUGGGGAUGCGUCUGAUUAGCUUGUUGGCGGGGUAACGGCCCACCAAGGCAACGAUCAGUAGGGGUUCUGGGAGGAAGGUCCCCCACAUUGGAACUGAGACACGGUCCAAACUCCUACGGGAGGCAGCAGUGAGGAAUAUUGGUCAAUGGACGUAAGUCUGAACCAGCCAAGUAGCGUGCAGGAUGACGGCCCUAUGGGUUGUAAACUGCUUUUGUAUGGGGAUAAAGUCAAUCACGUGUGAUUGUUUGCAGGUACCAUACGAAUAAGGACCGGCUAAUUCCGUGCCAGCAGCCGCGGUAAUACGGAAGGUUCGGGCGUUAUCCGGAUUUAUUGGGUUUAAAGGGAGCGUAGGCCGGAGAUUAAGUGUGUUGUGAAAUGUAGACGCUCAACGUCUGAAUUGCAGCGCAUACUGGUUUCCUUGAGUACGCACAACGUUGGCGGAAUUCGUCGUGUAGCGGUGAAAUGCUUAGAUAUGACGAAGAACUCCGAUUGCGAAGGCAGCUGACGGGAGCGCAACUGACGCUGAAGCUCGAAGGUGCGGGUAUCGAACAGGAUUAGAUACCCUGGUAGUCCGCACAGUAAACGAUGGAUGCCCGCUGUUGGUACCUAGUAUCAGCGGCUAAGCGAAAGCAUUAAGCAUCCCACCUGGGGAGUACGCCGGCAACGGUGAAACUCAAAGGAAUUGACGGGGGCCCGCACAAGCGG